This 492-nucleotide ribosomal RNA is filed under the name uncultured bacterium. Its description in RNAcentral is "partial 16S ribosomal RNA". It matches the Rfam family "Bacterial small subunit ribosomal RNA", at positions 29 to 507 of the family's 1533-position model. The record is from RNAcentral.
AGUGAACGCUGGCGGUAGGCCUAACACAUGCAAGUCGAACGGCAGCACAGUAAGAGCUUGCUCUUACGGGUGGCGAGUGGCGGACGGGUGAGGAAUACAUCGGAAUCUACUUUUUCGUGGGGGAUAACGUAGGGAAACUUACGCUAAUACCGCAUACGACCUACGGGUGAAAGCAGGGGAUCUUCGGACCUUGCGCGAUUGAAUGAGCCGAUGUCGGAUUAGCUAGUUGGCGGGGUAAAGGCCCACCAAGGCGACGAUCCGUAGCUGGUCUGAGAGGAUGAUCAGCCACACUGGAAGUGAGACACGGUCCAGACUCCUACGGGAGGCAGCAGUGGGGAAUAUUGGACAAUGGGCGCAAGCCUGAUCCAGCCAUACCGCGUGGGUGAAGAAGGCGUUCGGGUUGUAAAGCCCUUUUGUUGGGAAAGAAAAGCAGCAGGUUAAUACCCCGCUGUUCUGACGGUACCCAAAGAAUAAGCACCGGCUAACUUCGUG